Molecule: ribosomal RNA, 497 nt
Filed under: uncultured bacterium
Lineage: Bacteria
Description: partial 16S ribosomal RNA
Rfam family: Bacterial small subunit ribosomal RNA
Source: RNAcentral
GAUGAACGCUGGCGGCGUGCCUAAUACAUGCAAGUCGAGCGAACAGACGAGGCGCUUGCUCCUCUGACGUUAGCGGCGGACGGGUGAGUAACACGUGGAUAACCUACCUAUAAGACUGGGAUAACUUCGGGAAACCGGAGCUAAUACCGGAUAAUAUAUUGAACCGCAUGGUUCAAUAGUGAAAGACGGUUUUGCUGUCACUUAUAGAUGGAUCCGCGCCGCAUUAGCUAGUUGGUAAGGUAACGGCUUACCAAGGCAACGAUGCGUAGCCGACCUGAGAGGGUGGUAGGCCACACGGGAAGGGAGACACGGACCAGACUCCUACGGGAGGCAGCAGUAGGGAAUCUGCCGCAAUGGGCGAGAGCAUGACGGAGCAACGCGGCGUGAGUGAUGAAGGUCUUGGGAUCGUAAAACUCUGUUAUUAGUGAAGAACAAAUGUGUAAGUAGCUGUGCACGUCUUGACGGUACUUGAUCAGAAAGCCACGGCUAACUACGUG